AAGGUUGACCUCGGAUCAGGUAGGGAUACCCGCUGAACUUAAGCAUAUCAA
RNAcentral lists this ribosomal RNA (51 nucleotides) under Macrophomina phaseolina. Its description in RNAcentral is "partial 28S ribosomal RNA". Lineage: Eukaryota; Fungi; Ascomycota; Dothideomycetes; Botryosphaeriales; Botryosphaeriaceae. The record is from RNAcentral.